Molecule: long non-coding RNA, 2353 nt
Organism: Mugil cephalus (flathead mullet)
Lineage: Eukaryota; Metazoa; Chordata; Actinopteri; Mugiliformes; Mugilidae
Exons: 3
Source: RefSeq, a predicted model, not a curated record
UACAGAAGAUGAUAUUUGUGUUGCUUCAUACUUUGAUUUAUUGACAUAUAGUUUCAUAGUUGAAACAAGUUAAUUCUUCAAGAGUCUGUUAAGAAUUCACUCUAUUAGAGAAGUUGUGUGUUACUUUUUAUAUGGCAAAACUGGAAAGACACAACGAUGUCUGGCUGUAGUCUGUGGUGUGGUGGUUGAUUCAAAACUAUUUCCACUUUUACAUUUACAUUUAACAAAGCAAGAAGCUCUACCAUGUCUCUCUCUGUGAUACUUGGACUGAUGCUCUGCAUUGAAGCACCAGGGUCCAGUGCUGUGACUGAUGUGUUUGUGAAGAGAGGAGAUUCUGUACUUCCGGAAGUCAUGGAUGAUGUUACAAAGGAGUAAACCUCCUCACACCUACUUUCCUCCAUCAGGUCCAGUGUCUCCAGUUGACCUGAAUCCAGACUCUAUGUCCAACAGCUCAGACUCCUGUAACCUCACUGUGACCUGCAGGACAGAGGACUCACACAUCAGCAGCACUUUCACAUGUGACACCAAAACCUGCUCUCAGGAGGGAGGAGACCAAUCAAAGGUCACCAACUCUGGUGUUUCCCUCAGUGUCCACCUGUUGAAUGACGCAACCAUCUGGAACCAUAGCAGAAGAAAAUUACAAAAAUUCAGGAUCUCUGUCUCCUACAUGCUGGUCUCUAUGAUGGUGUCUCCAUCUGUCUGGUGAAGACAGUUGUGUUCUCUGUUGGUCUGAUCAUCAUGGUGUCUGUCGUCAUUAGUGUCCACCUCAUGGAGAAGAUCAGGAAACUAAAAUAAACAGUUCUCCUCUAAUCAAAUGAACAUAGGGCUCAAUCUCAUAUAGUGAACAUCUUACAUUUGCAUGUGGCUUUUUUGCUCUUACAGCCAGUGGCAUCUUUGCAUUGGGGACCCACCAGAGGGCGCUGCUGUGUAGGGAGGAUCACAGCAAUACAUUAGAGGGAAUCUGGCCAACUCGGGAAUGGACUGUAGGAGCUGUCAAGAGGGAAAAGUCAUUCAACCAGGAGUGGUUUAAGUAGAACCCUCGGUUAACCGGGAGCUCGUAAAAAAGCACUUAGUGAGUCUAAUUCAUUUUUAAUCUAAAUAGAAUAGAUAAUGAAGUUUACAUAUUUUUUGAAUGAUAAUGUAAAUUGAGUAAUGCGCACCUGGCGGUAUGUAUGUGGUAUACUGUGUGUAGUGACUUUGUAUAUUGAUUGCUGUGUAUUGGGUGUGUGCCAUUCAUGGUAUGAGCCGUUCAUCGGGUUUUUUAUUUAUUGUUUCAAUGUUGAGUAUCUGAUAUAGCGAGCUCUUGAACUCUGUGUUUGGUUGUGUAUAUGUCGGCAGAGUGGUAUGGUAUGCAAUCCAUCACCGUGGGAGGGGAUAAUGCAGCUAAUGAACCUAUUAACUCAUACAAGAUUGACACAGAGAAUGCGUGGAUAGAAAUUGCUGUCGCAAUGGCAAAAAAGACAUGAGGGACAAAUUCGGUAGGGCACAUAAACAGCAAGGCAGUGUGCUACCAUCUCUUAUUGUGUAUUAUUGCGCCGGCAAAAAGAUACCUGUGUAACAAUUGAACUGAAUUUGAAUUGAAUUUAUUUAUUCUGAAUAUACGUUUCAAUAAAUCACAAUGACUCACAUAUCUUCUAUCUUAUAGUGCAUUGGCUUCAAGCCCACAUCUAUAUACAGUAAAUUAAUUUCGGUACAAUUCAGCACUAUCAUUUUGUCCAAUUGUGCUCAACACAACACAUUCCUUCAUUCUUCAAGUGGGUUUGAAUUUGAAGUGGAACUAUUCAACACAACUACACUUUAAAAUCUGCCUACAAAUCACAACUUAAUUGAAUUUAAUCCUUUAAAAUUAACUUGUAUGUGUUAAAUUAUUUAGUUAAAAUAUAACCUUCAGUAGCAGUAACAUCAGCUUUGAGCUUAACUUCAAUUAUCUUAGACAUUGUGACAAACAAAAUAUAUAAAAUAUCAAAUGUGAUUUGCUAAUUCAAACCCACAUCCAUGUGAUGUAAAUAGCUGGAACAAUCAUUUUGUCUAUCGUAGUCAACAUGACAUAGUGUUUUUGUAUUUUGAAAAUAAAUCAAAUACGUAGUGUUUUUUAUAUGUAUGUAACACAAAGUGCUUCACACAGAUUAAAAAGACAUCCACACAUAUAACCCCACUCACGCAUACACGCGCACAAAGAAAAUUAGAUACAGUAUAAUACGGUAAAUUACGGUAUAAUAAGUAAAUAAAGUAAGAACACCCUUUAUCCCAUAAAAAUAAGUAAAUCUGAUAAUUAGGAAUGGGCAUCAAUAACCAGAUGUUCCAGUUCCCAUCUUCUCUGCUUUUUCUACCCCUUAUCCUCACUAGGGUCGUG